GCUGACCACAUCUUGAUGCCACAAGACAAUAUAUGUUCGCUCUCACGUUGUUAACAAGCAGCAGUUCAGAGAGAAGAACGUGAACCGAGAGAAUUCCUCACAUUUCUCCCAGGCUAAUAAUUAAUGUAAUUUGGUAUAAACCAAACAUAGCCAUUGUAACUAAAGUGGAAGGUUAUGUGUUGAGUCAGUUAAGAAUGGCCUCAGAAAUAGCAGACCCCACAUGGGUAACCUAAUAACAGACAUCUAAUCAUUGCUCAUUUACCAGAUAAUCAGAGCGUGUGUGUGUGUGUGUGUGUGCGUGUGUGUGUGUUGGGAGGGCAACGAGCCGAUGAGACAGAAGCACAGGAUAGCUAGCUUCUUAUUAAACUAAUUUGAGAGAGAGCGAGAGAGUGAAGACUAUUCUUUCCCUUUUGUAAAGGUUCUUUGUUUCCUGGAGCGGUUCGCGUAGGAGAGUUACCCUUUUGUAAUUAUGGCAACACAAAUCGUGCUCGGUUCCCACAUCGUCCUACACCAGAUCCAGGUCCGCUCAGUCUAUAGCUGCAGUGAAUGUGCAUCCACAUACACAGAAGGCCGGAGUGGACAGCAGUCACUGAUGGUGACUCAGACAUUAUUAUGCAAGGCAACACUUUUCAGAUUGUUUUCACCAGUUUUAUGUUUACCAAGGCACUAAAUUAUCAGCCCGCAUAUCAAGUUCGAUUUUGGUGCUGACACAUGCUGAUCAUCAGCAUUUCUUUUAACUGAUGUAUGUUUGGCCAUUUGCUUGUGCUGAGAAACAGCAAAGUGGAAACAGGUUCUUCACACUGUUUCUAAUGACAACAGUACAGGGAGCUUCAGACUUGCACCAUUAUGGAAACACAAAUGGGAGCAUUGUUACGACCAAAGCAAGCUCAUGACGCGCCGUGAGUCAAAAAGACAUCUAGAAAGUCCAAGGACACAAAUGGACCAUCAGAGCAGUCACAGCACUUCCCGUUUGUCAAUCUGAUGCGAGGGAGCGAGCUGCACAGUCCUCGACAAUCGCCUGUAGGAUGACUCCAUGAGUGCCUGGUACUUUCCAGCUCUCCACCUGCUCAUCUCUUUGUGCACUGCACAGUCUCUUAAGGGGCCCGUGUGGUCGGACUUGUUCUGCCUGUUCUCCCGCAGACAAAAGGCCUGCAUGUGGAUCCGCUUUGGAGGCGGACAGUCCAGCGCCAACAUUGACACACAUGGUGUCAUUGGGG
Syngnathus acus (greater pipefish) is the source of this 1217-nucleotide long non-coding RNA. RefSeq lists it as uncharacterized. Lineage: Eukaryota; Metazoa; Chordata; Actinopteri; Syngnathiformes; Syngnathidae. The record is from RefSeq and is a predicted model, not a curated record. The transcript is spliced from 3 exons.